AUCCUGCUGACGAGUCCCAAACAGGACGAAACGCGUGUCCUGGAU
Molecule: non-coding RNA, 45 nt
Filed under: Schistosoma mansoni
Lineage: Eukaryota; Metazoa; Platyhelminthes; Trematoda; Strigeidida; Schistosomatidae
Source: RNAcentral